CCCUUAGAUGUUCUGGGCUGCACGCGCGCUACACUGAUGCGAUCAACAAGUUUUUCCUAUGUCGAUAGACACGGGUAAUCUUUUGAACUCGCAUCGUGAUGGGGAUAGAUUAUUGUAAUUAUUAAUCUUCAACGAGGAAUUCCUAAUAGGUGCAAAUCAUCAGUUUGCAUCGAUUACGUCCCUGCCCUUUGUACACACCGCCCGUCGCUGCUACCGAUUGGUUGAUCUGGUGAAUUAUUCGGACUGCCGGCUGAAGGGGUUUCCUCAUCUGCCAGCGGAAAGUCUUGUUAACCCUAUCAACUAGAGGAAGCAGAAGUCGUAACA
RNAcentral lists this ribosomal RNA (324 nucleotides) under uncultured eukaryote. RNAcentral's name for it is "partial 18S ribosomal RNA". It matches the Rfam family "Eukaryotic small subunit ribosomal RNA", at positions 1470 to 1796 of the family's 1831-position model. The record is from RNAcentral.